CCUACGGGAGGCAGCAGUAAGGAAUAUUGGUCAAUGGAGGCAACUCUGAACCAGCCAUGCCGCGUGCAGGAUGAAGGCCCUAUGGGUCGUAAACUGCUUUUACACAAGAGAAAACCCGAGUACGUGUACUCGGUUGAUAGUAUUGUGAGAAUAAGCAUCGGCUAACUUCGUGCCAGCAGCCGCGGUAAGACGAGGGAUGCAAGCGUUAUCCGGAUUCAUUGGGUUUAAAGGGUGCGUAGGCGGACCUGUAAGUCAGUGGUGAAAUCUCUUUGCUUAACAAAGAAACUGCCAUUGAUACUGCAAGUCUAGAGUAUAGAUGACGUUGGCGGAAUAUGACAUGUAGUGGUGAAAUACUUAGAUAUGUCAUAGAACACCGAUUGCGAAGGCAGCUAACGAAACUAUAACUGACGCUGAGGCACGAAAGUGCGGGGAUCAAACAGGAUUAGAUACCCUGGUAGUCCGCACCGUAAACGAUGAUUACUCGUUGUUGGCAAUAUGACCGUCAGCGACCAAGCGAAAGCGAUAAGAAUCCACCUGGGGUUAGACGCGCGACGUAGAACGUUAAGAAGUAGAGGCGNGAGAGNGCGACGGACGACGACGAGGAGGAGG
RNAcentral lists this ribosomal RNA (609 nucleotides) under uncultured bacterium. RNAcentral's name for it is "bacterial SSU rRNA". The stretch from base 1 to 535 matches the Rfam family "Bacterial small subunit ribosomal RNA", at positions 338 to 873 of the family's 1533-position model. The record is from RNAcentral.